CGAUCUCAGCAAGAUUAAUAAAAUUAAUUAUUAUAAUAUUAUUAUUACUUAGUAAUAUGAUCUUCUCUUAUAAUACAUAAUAAAUUUAUUUUCAACUUAAUAUAUGAUAAUAAUUUAUCAAUUCUCAUGAAAUACUAAUAAUUUCUUUUUAUAAUAUCAUUUUUCAUAUACUAGAUUACGUUAACGAGCUUUGGAGUGGAGAGCUUAGAAAUGUUUGAAAUUUGUUCAUAAAAAUGAAUCCAACGUAAAGUUGUUUAAGAUGAUAGCCUUUUUAAUAGUCAAAUGAACGAACCGAGCUCAGUAGCUCGGAACAGUCAAGAAAUGGUUUUUAUUUGGCUGGAACUGGAAGCCUAACAAAAAGCCACCUUUAAUUUAGUCUCUCCAUCUCUUUAGUUCAGUCUUUUCCAAGGAUGACACCAUAAUAAUAGGAUGGCUUAUAUGAACUGACUGAUUCAGUUUUAUGCUCCUCAUUCGUGUUCUUGAAAGGAUUGGCAUGGCAGGAAACGUUUCUAUACUGCAAGAGUAUAACAAGAAGACCGGGCACAGUGAGAAAUCAAUUCAUUUAUAGGAAAUCAAACGAGUUACAAAAUUGAACACCAAGAAUUCUCAUGAAAACUCUCUUGCUCCAAACUGCAAAGGAAAAACACAGAAUAAGCUUCGACCAACACAAGAUAUUAAUGUACGGAAAAUCAGUGUGGAAUGAGAACCUAAUCUAAUCUCUAGAAGCAACAUGUUCUCAUGUUACUGAUUCCUUGAACAUUUAGAAGUGUUGAAAGGACAAAAAAAGAAAACAAAAGAAGAGUAUUGUCCAAAUUGGAUGAAUUUGCAUAACAAUUUAAGGUCGGCAAAGGAAGUUUCCCAGAAUGGAGGGGAUGCAAUACAUAGAGACAUUUGAGUUUGACCCUAGGAAAUGGGAAACGCGGUUUCAUAUCAGUUUUUUUUUUUUUUUUUGUCUAUUAUUUAAGUAUGUUGCAGACUUUGAAGACUUUAAAGAUUAGAUGUUAAUUGUUAUAAUGUUCCGGCUAACUAGCAACUAGUCAAAACCUACCGUGCGGUUUAUGUCUUUCUUGCACGCUCAGGUUUUGGUUUGGGUGAUGUUUGCAAUUUGAUUUUGGUUUCUCUAUCAUUUCAUUUGUUAGGUUUGUUUCAAACCGACCAAUCUUAAUUACCAAUGAAACCAGAAAGGAAACUGAAAUGAAAUCCAGAUGAUAAAAGAAAACCCAAUUUUUGACCAUUUUCUUUUCUUUUUUUUAUUUAUUGGUUUUGGUUGUACGAGUAGAAUUAUCUAUGUACUUUUGGCUAUGCUGAGCGAGUUUUGUUUAAAAUUUUUGGAUUUGAACUCCAAGGUUUAACAUAUGGGUAUCUGUAGUUUAUUCAUUGGUGGGUAUUCUUAGGAUAAAUCUGGACUAUAUGGCACUAAAUGGUGCUGUACUUCGACGACUGUUGUGCGGUUGUCGUUUUAACUUGUCUUUGUGCUUUUGUGGCUGCCGUUUGGGGAAUACUUUUUUUAAUCUGCUUAGUGGCGAUUGGUGUAACGGCCGAACAGAACAAUGGAGCGUCUUUGGAAUUGAAAGUUUAUGUUUUGUCCGUACAAAUUGGAAUCAAUUACAAAAGACUUGGUCAGUGCCGCCCUGGCCGGACUUUAAUUUUCUCCGAUCAA
Ricinus communis (castor bean) is the source of this 1660-nucleotide long non-coding RNA. RefSeq lists it as uncharacterized. The transcript has 4 exons. The record is from RefSeq and is a predicted model, not a curated record. NCBI's taxonomy places the organism in Eukaryota, Viridiplantae, Streptophyta, Magnoliopsida, Malpighiales, Euphorbiaceae.